GUCUAUGGCCAUACCACCCUGAACACGCCUGAUCUCGUCUGAUCUCGUAAGUUAAGCAGGGUCGGGCCUGGUUAGUACUUGGAUGGGAGAAUAUCUACCUGCUUUGGGGA
RNAcentral lists this ribosomal RNA (110 nucleotides) under Erinaceus europaeus (western European hedgehog). Lineage: Eukaryota; Metazoa; Chordata; Mammalia; Eulipotyphla; Erinaceidae. The record is from RNAcentral.